AGUAACACAUCGGAACGUAUCCCGUAGUGGGGGAUAACCCGGCGAAAGCCGGGCUAAUACCGCAUAUGCUCUACGGAGGAAAGUGGGGGACCCUGAGGGCAACUGAGGGGCCUCACGUUAUGGGAGCGGCCGAUGUCCGAUUAGCUAGUUGGUGGGGUAAAGGCCUACCAAGGCGACGAUCGGUAGCUGGUCUGAGAGGAUGAUCAGCCACACUGGGACUGAGACACGGCCCAG
Molecule: ribosomal RNA, 234 nt
Filed under: uncultured bacterium
Lineage: Bacteria
Description: partial 16S ribosomal RNA
Rfam family: Bacterial small subunit ribosomal RNA
Source: RNAcentral